UACACGCUGUGACUAGCAUAUCAAUAAGCGGAGGAAAAGAAACUAACAAGGAUUCCCUCAGUAACGGCGAGUGAAGCGGGAAGAGCUCAAAUUUGAAAUCUUGGAAAGGUCACCUUUCACGAAUUGUAGUUUAAAGAAGUGUUUUCUGUUACGAUCGUAAUAUAAGUUCUUUGGAAUAGGACAUCACAGAGGGUGAGAAUCCCGUCUAUGAUUGCGAUUUGUAGCUUUGUGAUACACUUUCAAAGAGUCGGGUUGUUUGGGAAUGCAGCCCAAAACGGGAGGUAAAUUUCUUCUAAGGCUAAAUAUUGGCGAGAGACCGAUAGCGAACAAGUACCGUGAGGGAAAGAUAAAAGAACUUUGAAAAGAGAGUUAAAUAGUACGUGAAAUUGUCAAAAGGGAAGCGUUUAACACCAGUGUUGUUUUCUGAAAAUCAACCUCUGUUAGCCUUUAUGCAUGCUUGUUUAGACCUAAUCAGCUAUCUUUCAUGUUCUAUUGUUUGCAGUGGUGCACUUUUCAGUUUACAGGUCAACAUCAGUUUUUUUUACCGUAAAAAAGUUAAAGAAAGGUAGCUCAUGGCUCCGGUCGUGAGUGUUAUAGUCUUUUUCCUAUGCGGUAGGAGAGACUGAGGUCUGCAGUGUAGGCUAUUUGGCUAGAUACUCAGGUGCUAUGUGAUACCAUUUCAUAAACAACUUGUUGAUUAUGUUUUGUCUAUUGCAUACUCGCUUGUACUAUCAUACCUACGCUUAGGAUGUUGAGUAGCGACAUACGCAC
This 771-nucleotide ribosomal RNA is filed under the name uncultured Neocallimastigales. RNAcentral's name for it is "partial large subunit ribosomal RNA". The stretch from base 3 to 661 matches the Rfam family "Eukaryotic large subunit ribosomal RNA", at positions 24 to 664 of the family's 3401-position model. The record is from RNAcentral. Lineage: Eukaryota; Fungi; Neocallimastigomycota; Neocallimastigomycetes; Neocallimastigales.